Molecule: long non-coding RNA, 771 nt
Filed under: Helianthus annuus (common sunflower)
Lineage: Eukaryota; Viridiplantae; Streptophyta; Magnoliopsida; Asterales; Asteraceae
Source: RNAcentral
UUCAAAAUACGUGUCUUCUUCAUAUCCCCAAUACAAGUUCACUUUCUUUCCCUCCCAUGGCUUCACCACCGACAAUUAACCUCAUCUGGGUAGUCUUCUCCAGCGUACCCAUCGGAGAUCCCUGCUAUUCUUAGAACAUCACAGCUAACAGAACUUGAAGACGAUUGUUGCAGAAUAGGUCAAAAUUAGGGUUUGUAUUUUUUCAAAACAAACAGAGAUUAUGAGCACCUCCGUACAAUUUCCAGAAUAAAAAAUCGUGACCACCAUCUUCAACCAAACAGAGCACACGAUGGCGACGACCAACGCACGGUCUAAUAUUAAGGACUACCAUAACUACACAGUUGCACGCGUGCUGUUCUUGCGCAUAUGGGCGGAACAUUAUGGGGAUCUAUGAGGCACAUUAUACCAGCUUCCACAUCAACACUUAGCACCCCCGCUGCAACGCGGGGGGUGCUUCCUUCUAGUUGUUAGCUAAUUUUGACGUUAGAUUUUUCAAAUGUUUAGCUUAGUUCACUACUUCACUAUAUUAACCAACUAAUAUUAUCACCUACACAUAUUGUCGUCCCUUUUCGCGGAGGAUUACGAACAUAAACCUUGUUAUACUAACCCACUAGCAAGUGCGGAAUCCAAGCUAGUAGGCAAACCGGGAUGAAGCAAGUAGAGAAACAAGCACACAAGGUUUCACCGAUUAACACCAAUGUAUUAAUACGUAUGAAGGUUACGAUUACAAGCACAAUGUUUACAAAACCAAAGAUGUAAACUCUCAAGUGU